AUUAUAAUAAUUGAAUUGCAGUCAAUAGGUGUUAUUUAUAACUAUCCUUA
Molecule: transfer RNA, 50 nt
Filed under: Kikihia cutora
Lineage: Eukaryota; Metazoa; Arthropoda; Insecta; Hemiptera; Cicadidae
Description: partial tRNA-Ala
Source: RNAcentral